RNAcentral lists this long non-coding RNA (204 nucleotides) under Elaeis guineensis (African oil palm). RNAcentral describes it as "long non-coding RNA (EGUI_LNC068540)". The record is from RNAcentral. Lineage: Eukaryota; Viridiplantae; Streptophyta; Magnoliopsida; Arecales; Arecaceae.
CCUGGAUCGCGAUCAAUGCUUGAUCUCUUUUCUUAAUUUUUUUCUUCUCCUCUUCUCUAAAGUUUUUCUUUACUAUGUGCUACUACCAGAUACUAGAAACCAGCAAGGGAUCUGCACCCAAGAGUUUUGAGUGUAGAACUCCUUGGGAUGCAUGUCCCAAGGAAGAGGUGUGUAAAACACCCAAGAGAAAAAAAAGGGAGGGGA